AUUGAACGCUGGCGGCAGGCCUAACACAUGCAAGUCGAGCGGUAGAGAGAAGCUUGCUUCUCUUGAGAGCGGCGGACGGGUGAGUAAUGCCUAGGAAUCUGCCUGGUAGUGGGGGAUAACGUUCGGAAACGGACGCUAAUACCGCAUACGUCCUACGGGAGAAAGCAGGGGACCUUCGGGCCUUGCGCUAUCAGAUGAGCCUAGGUCGGAUUAGCUAGUUGGUGAGGUAAUGGCUCACCAAGGCGACGAUCCGUAACUGGUCUGAGAGGAUGAUCAGUCACACUGGAACUGAGACACGGUCCAGACUCCUACGGGAGGCAGCAGUGGGGAAUAUUGGACAAUGGGCGAAAGCCUGAUCCAGCCAUGCCGCGUGUGUGAAGAAGGUCUUCGGAUUGUAAAGCACUUUAAGUUGGGAGGAAGGGCAGUUACCUAAUACGUGAUUGU
Molecule: ribosomal RNA, 444 nt
Filed under: Pseudomonas sp. R-43631
Lineage: Bacteria; Pseudomonadati; Pseudomonadota; Gammaproteobacteria; Pseudomonadales; Pseudomonadaceae
Description: bacterial SSU rRNA
Rfam family: Bacterial small subunit ribosomal RNA
Source: RNAcentral